GCUGGGCGUGGUGGCGCAUGCCUGUAAUUCUAGAGGCUCUGGAGGCUGAGGCAGGAGGAUCUUGAGUUCAAAGCCAGCAACAGUGAGGUGCUAAGCAACUCAGUGAGACCCCGUCUCUA
RNAcentral lists this small RNA (119 nucleotides) under Marmota monax (woodchuck). Lineage: Eukaryota; Metazoa; Chordata; Mammalia; Rodentia; Sciuridae. The record is from RNAcentral.